GAGAUGGCCAGCAUAUCCUCUGUGAAGAAUCUGCAGUGCUGAAACUCAUUCUUGCCUUCCAAAAUUUCGACUUUCCACAUUUUUCAAAAUCUGGGUCUUACAAAAAUUGAUCAGGAGCUGAAGUUAGGCCUCAACAGCCACUUGAAUUCUUUCCAUUAGCAGUUCUUAUUGUGGUGUGUAUAAAAGGGAGCUGCAGCAAAAGUGAUGCAUAUCCAGAACACCACCAGGCACCUCACAUUGGAAGAAAGUGGAUUAUUGGAAGCUAAUCUCAGGUUUAUUACUGGAUGCUGUGGAAUUAACACACGGGAGGCCUAUCUCUUUGCACCUGGGUGGGAUAAUGGCAGAAACUUCAGGUAUACUACCAAAUAUGUGUAAUAUUCUUUCUGACAGAGACAACAUAUGACAAUAAAUUCUUUAAGAGAAAUUUGAAUUUUCCA
Molecule: long non-coding RNA, 437 nt
Filed under: Cyanistes caeruleus (blue tit)
Lineage: Eukaryota; Metazoa; Chordata; Aves; Passeriformes; Paridae
Description: lncRNA (ENSCCEG00000020142.1)
Source: RNAcentral